GAUUUCUGGCACGAUGUGCCUGGCCCGCGCCGUUAGGUUGUGAGUGCUGGGUUACGUCUGCCAUCCUUCCAGACAGCGCCUCUACCCCUCACGGGGCCGGAGAGCGCCAUCUGGAUCUUUUACUUUGAAAAAAUUAGAGUGUUUCAAGCAGGCAUUUGCUGUGAAUACAUUAGCAUGGAAUAAUCAACUAGGACUUCGGUUCUAUUUUGUUGGUUUCUAGGACUGAAGUAAUGAUUGAUAGGGAUAGUUGGGGGUGCUAGUAUUCAGCGGCCAGAGGUGAAAUUCUCGGAUUCGCUGAAGACUAACUAAUGCGAAAGCAUU
This 321-nucleotide ribosomal RNA is filed under the name Glissomonadida sp. RNAcentral describes it as "SSU rRNA". The stretch from base 109 to 321 matches the Rfam family "Eukaryotic small subunit ribosomal RNA", at positions 741 to 955 of the family's 1831-position model. Lineage: Eukaryota; Cercozoa; Glissomonadida. The record is from RNAcentral.